GGCACGGUGGUGCAGUGGUAACAUACCCGCUUCUAUUACGUGUGUUUCCAAGAGUUCGGUGGGAGUCUCCCAUUCGAAUCGGGGCCAGGCCA
Mycena maculata is the source of this 92-nucleotide non-coding RNA. Lineage: Eukaryota; Fungi; Basidiomycota; Agaricomycetes; Agaricales; Mycenaceae. The record is from the annotation of a GenBank genome assembly.